This 402-nucleotide ribosomal RNA is filed under the name uncultured bacterium. RNAcentral's name for it is "bacterial SSU rRNA". It matches the Rfam family "Bacterial small subunit ribosomal RNA", at positions 28 to 432 of the family's 1533-position model. The record is from RNAcentral.
GAUGAACGCUAGCGGCAGGCCUAAUACAUGCAAGUCGAACGGUAAGGCCCUUUCGGGGGUACACGAGUGGCGGACGGGUGCGUAACGCGUAUGCAACAUGCCUUCCAGCGGGGGAUAUACCAGGGAAACUUGGCGCAAUACCCCCAUAGAAUUACGGGACCGCAUGGUCUUGUGAUUAAAAACUCCGGUGCUGGGAGAUUGGCAUGCGUGACAUUAGCUAGUUGGCGGGGUAACGGCCCACCAAGCGACGAUGUCUAGCUGGUCUGAGAGGACGACCAGCCACACUGGGACUGAGACACGGCCCAGACUCCUACGGGAGGCAGCAGUGGGAAUUUUGGACAAUGGACGCAAGUCGUGAUCCAGCAAUGCCGCGUGCAGGACGAAGGCCUCGGUUGUAACUAG